AGCGCGUAAAUAGGUUAGGGAAUAAAACAGGUGGCGUUAGUGCUACAAAGAAAACAGGAGUGAAAAGAUACAGAGAUUGAGAGAUAUAUGUAAGAAAAUUAAUCAAGAAACAACGGUGUGGAUAUUAGCAUUGAAUGUUGUUUCUUUGUUAUUACAGAGAAACAAUUCUACCUAUUAUCUACCCAUAACCUGCACAAUAAAUAAGACAUUAUAUAUAUAUAUA
RNAcentral lists this long non-coding RNA (223 nucleotides) under Polistes fuscatus (common paper wasp). RNAcentral describes it as "uncharacterized LOC122513801". Lineage: Eukaryota; Metazoa; Arthropoda; Insecta; Hymenoptera; Vespidae. The record is from RNAcentral.